Molecule: long non-coding RNA, 1005 nt
Filed under: Numida meleagris (helmeted guineafowl)
Lineage: Eukaryota; Metazoa; Chordata; Aves; Galliformes; Numididae
Description: lncRNA (ENSNMEG00000005601.1)
Source: RNAcentral
GUAAUUUCCACUUCAAAAGAUAGGAUGUCCUCUGGAUUCCUUAAGGAAAGGAAAAAAUCCUGAAGUAGAAUUUUUUCACAUUCCGCAGUUUCAGGUUCAACUGGAGGUUGGUUUGCAGAGAAGUGGAAUGGAUAAAGCUGUAGAGUGUGGGAACAUCUGAGAGUAAAUUCAUCUCUUCCUUGGUCUCAAACCUUGCCAUGAAUGCGUUGAGUCAUGAGUGUCUUGGAUUUUAAUGAAGUUAAGAUGUUGUCCUCUAUGACAUCAGCGUCACUGCAGGAGUUUUCCUGACCCACCUGCCUGCUGCCCACGUGUGGAAAUCUGCACCCACCACCUGCUCUGCCAGGUACAGCUCAAGGCCAGUGAAAGGGACAGAGCCUGAGAGACUUUUCUUCUAUGGAAGAUCAGGGGUUCUGCUUGCAAAGGGUGUGUCCUGGGCACGGCACCUCAGUCACAGCCCUUUUCCACAGAUGGAUGCUGUUGAUGCUGUACCCUUCCCUGCUGGCCUUGUUCAGGUGGUAAAAUCUCUUUUGGAAGAUGCUCUAAGCCAGUUCCUGAGUUGCAUCCCAUCGUGGAAAGGACACAGCAUGCAAAAAUAAGCUUGUCGCAUUCAUUUCCCACCACACUUACACUAAAUAGGGGGUUUCUCCAGAGGAGCAAGCUCCCUGUUCUCCCAUCUCCCACCCUGUCAUAGAACCGUGAGUUGGAAGGGACCCUGUAAGGCCACCUAGUCCAACUGCCUUGCAUCGAAGUGGGAUAAGUGCCACUCCGGUAGCGAUGGUGUUAGCGACUUGUAGAAAAAGGUCAGAAGAAGAGCGUGCACCGCCAAUUUCCAGCUAACAAAGGCACCUGGUCUCCACCGAGGACACUAGAGGGCGCUUCCACCUUAUUUUUGGGAGCACUCCUCUGCAGGAGUUCCUCGCCUCUUCCCCCAGCAGCUGGAGAAGGUUGGGUGAAGGUCUAUCGAAAAGGGGACUUGUCUCCGAUGUGUGUUUGCAAGGGGCUUAG